Molecule: ribosomal RNA, 253 nt
Filed under: uncultured bacterium
Lineage: Bacteria
Description: partial 16S ribosomal RNA
Rfam family: Bacterial small subunit ribosomal RNA
Source: RNAcentral
UACGUAGGGUGCAAGCGUUGUCCGGAAUUAUUGGGCGUAAAGAGCUCGUAGGCGGUUUGUCGCGUCGAAUGUGAAAACCCGGGGCUCAACCCCGGGCCUGCAUUCGAUACGGGCAGACUAGAGUUCGGUAGGGGAGUCUGGAAUUCCCGGUGUAGCGGUGAAAUGCGCAGAUAUCGGGAGGAACACCAAUGGCGAAGGCAGCUCGCUGGGACGGUACUGACGCUGAGACGCGAAAGCGUGGGGAGCAAACAGG